AGAGCGAACGCUGGCGGCAGGCCUAACACAUGCAAGUCGAACGGACCCUUCGGGGUUAGUGGCGGACGGGUGAGUAACACGUGGGGACGUGCCUUUAGGUUCGGAAUAGCUCCUGGAAACGGGUGGUAAUGCCGAAUGUGCCCUUCGGGGGAAAGAUUUAUCGCCUUUAGAGCGGCCCGCGUCUGAUUAGCUUGUUGGUGAGGUAAUGGCUCACCAAGGCUACGAUCAGUAGCUGGUCUGAGAGGAUGACCAGCCACAUUGGGACUGAGACACGCCCAAACUCCUACGGGAGCAGCAGUGGGGAAUCUUGCGCAAUGGGACCGAAAGCC
Molecule: ribosomal RNA, 329 nt
Filed under: uncultured soil bacterium
Lineage: Bacteria
Description: bacterial SSU rRNA
Rfam family: Bacterial small subunit ribosomal RNA
Source: RNAcentral